Molecule: long non-coding RNA, 938 nt
Filed under: Bemisia tabaci
Lineage: Eukaryota; Metazoa; Arthropoda; Insecta; Hemiptera; Aleyrodidae
Description: lncRNA ENSSSA2NGG010143
Source: RNAcentral
GAGAUCGUAAAACCCUAUGAUUGGGGUUUGAGCCGAGCCGAGCUUUGAGUUAAAAGAGCGGGCUGCCCGUCUCCUCGUUCGCAGUGUCCCCGAAGAACGACGCCAAGACCAACAUGCAGUUCCUCAAGAUCAACCUCUUCCUCCUCGUCGCCAUCGCCGCAACCCUGGUGCGCGCUCAGGGCGACGAUUGGAACACGGAUACAGGAGUGCCGGAAUGCAACGAUUGCAUUAAAACGUGUAAAAUGCAGACGAACGCGGACUACGUCUACUGUAGGUACACCUUCUGCUUCAACGACUGCAUAACGGUCAACGGUGACGGCCCCACGAAGCCGAAGCCAACUGAAAGCGCAGGCGGCCAACAAGGCAACCAACAAGGCAACCAACAAGGGAGCCAACAAGGCAACCAACAAGAAAACCAACAAGGGAACCAAUCAGGGAACCAAUCAGGGAACCAAAGUGGGAACCAAAAAGGUCGCAGGUUCUCGGGCAGGACGGUGCGGAGUACGAUUGGGAGGAGGACACCGGGUAGAGGAGUGCAAUAGCUGCAUCCCCAAGUGCAAAAUGGAGACGAACGCCGACUACGUCUUCUGCAGGUACACCUACUGCGCCACCGAGUGCGGCCCCGCCAACGAGGGCAAACCCAAACCAUCGCCGAAACCAAAACCGGCAGCCCCAGGCGGUCCCGGAGCUGCUCCCGGCGCUGCUCCCGCCAGCGGGCGUUAGAGAAGUAGGCCACGCAUCCGGAGUCACCCGAGAGGAGCUUCGACCAUGUCCCCAGGACUGGCCCACGCAGUUCUUACUCCGCUUUCCUCAACGUCUUUCUUCACUCGAUAAUAAAGAGUUUUUCAUGUCUUCUAACAUUUUGAUUUCUCACGAACGUCCUACUCUCCUUUCACCUCUUCCUACUUCGUUUACUCAUAUAAUUUUCUGCUCUCUUU